GACGAACGCUGGCGGCGUGCUUAACACAUGCAAGUCGAACGGAAAGGCCCUGCUUUUGUGGGGUGCUCGAGUGGCGAACGGGUGAGUAAAACGUGAGUAACCUGCCCUUGACUUUGGGAUAACUUCAGGAAACUGGGGCUAAUACCGGAUAGGAGAUCCUGCUGCAUGGUGGGGGUUGGAAAGUUUCGGCGGUGGGGGCUGGACUCGCGGCUUAUCAGCCUGUUGGUGGGGUAGUGGCUUACCAAGGCUUUGACGGGUAGCCGGCCUGAGAGGGUGACCGGCCACAUUGGGCCUGAGAUACGGCCCAGACUCGUACGUGAGGCAGCGGUGGAGAAUAUUGCGCAGUGGGCGGAAGCCUGAUGCAGCAGCGCCGCGUGCGGGAUGACGGCCUUCGGGUUGUAAACCGCUUUCGCCUGUGACGAAGCGUGAGUGACGGUAAUGGGUAAGGAAGCACCGGCUAACUACGUG
RNAcentral lists this ribosomal RNA (468 nucleotides) under uncultured bacterium. Its description in RNAcentral is "partial 16S ribosomal RNA". It matches the Rfam family "Bacterial small subunit ribosomal RNA", at positions 28 to 507 of the family's 1533-position model. The record is from RNAcentral.